This 541-nucleotide ribosomal RNA is filed under the name uncultured organism. RNAcentral describes it as "eukaryotic LSU rRNA". The stretch from base 121 to 274 matches the Rfam family "5.8S ribosomal RNA". The record is from RNAcentral.
UGAUUCUUCAGCUCUUUCUGUACCUGGCUGUCUAUACUAGGCUCUACGAUAUCUCUAUAUACACCACGUAUGUUAAUGAACGCAAUAAAUGGGCCCAUAAAGCCUAUAAACCUAUAAUACAACUUUCAGCAACGGAUCUCUUGGCUCUGGCAUCGAUGACGCACGCAGCGAAAUGCGAUAAGUAAUGUGAAUUGCAGAAUUCAGUGAAUCAUCGAAUCUUUGAACGCACCUUGCGCUCCUUGGUAUUCCGAGGAGCAUGCCUGUUUGAGUGUCAUUAGAUUCUCAAUCUCUACAACUUUGUGUUGUCUAGAUUGGAAGUGGGGGUCUCUUGUGUGGAAUUCAAUUUUCUCACUCCCCUUAAAUGCAUUAGCUGGGAAUGCCUCUGCAUAUCUGACUAUCAGUGUGAUAAUUAUCUAUGCUGUAGUUGUUGCAUGAGGGUAUCUACUUCAUCAAUCGUCGCAAGACAAUUAUUGACCAUCUUGACCUCAAAUCAGGUAGGACUACCCGCUGAACUUAAGCAUAUCAAUAAGCGGAGGAACGC